Molecule: ribosomal RNA, 496 nt
Filed under: uncultured bacterium
Lineage: Bacteria
Description: partial 16S ribosomal RNA
Rfam family: Bacterial small subunit ribosomal RNA
Source: RNAcentral
AUGAACGCUGGCGGCGUGCCUCAUCCAUGCAAGUCGCGCGAACGGACGAGAAGCUUGCUUCUCUGAUGUUAGCGGCGGACGGGUGAGUAACACGUGGAUAACCUACCUAUAAGACUGGGAUAACUUCGGGAAACCGGAGCUAAUACCGGAUGAUAUUUUGAACCGCAUGGUUCAAAAGUGAAAGAUGGUCUUGCUGUCACUUAUAGAUGGAUCCGCGCUGCAUUAGCUAGUUGGUAAGGUAACGGCUUACCAAGGCAACGAUGCAUAGCCGACCUGAGAGGGUGAUCGGCCACACUGGAACUGAGACACGGUCCAGACUCCUACGGGAGGCAGCAGUAGGGAAUCUUCCGCAAUGGGCGAAAGCCUGACGGAGCAACGCCGCGUGAGUGAUGAAGGUCUUCGGAUCGUAAAACUCUGUUAUUAGGGAAGAACAUAUGUGUAAGUAACUGUGCACAUCUUGACGGUACCUAAUCAGAAAGCCACGGCUAACUACGUG